CCCCUGGUGUAGUGGUUUGAGAGUUGGACUAUGACUCUGAAGACCAGGGUUUGAAUCCCUGCUAGGCCA
Molecule: transfer RNA, 69 nt
Filed under: Phrynosoma platyrhinos (Desert horned lizard)
Lineage: Eukaryota; Metazoa; Chordata; Lepidosauria; Squamata; Phrynosomatidae
Description: tRNA-OTHER
Source: RNAcentral